GGAAUAUUGGACAAUGGGCGCAAGCCUGAUCCAGCCAUGCCGCGUGCAGGAUGAAGCAUCUAUGGUGUGUAAACUGCUUUUAUACGGGAAGAAACCCUGGCUCGUGAGCCAGACUGACGGUACCGUAAGAAUAAGGACCGGCUAACUCCGUGCCAGCAGCCGCGGUAAUACGGAGGGUCCAAGCGUUAUCCGGAAUCAUUGGGUUUAAAGGGUCCGUAGGCGGCCCUGUAAGUCAGUGGUGAAACCUCCCGGCUCAACGGGGAAACGGCCAUUGAUACUACUAGGCUUGAAUUAUUAGGAAGUAACUAGAAUAUGUAGUGUAGCGGUGAAAUGCUUAGAUAUUACAUGGAAUACCAAUUGCGAAGGCAGGUUACUACUAAUUGAUUGACGCUGAUGGACGAAAGCGUGGGGAGCGAACAGGAUUAGAUACCCCUG
This 435-nucleotide ribosomal RNA is filed under the name uncultured Flavobacterium sp. Its description in RNAcentral is "bacterial SSU rRNA". It matches the Rfam family "Bacterial small subunit ribosomal RNA", at positions 358 to 789 of the family's 1533-position model. The record is from RNAcentral. Lineage: Bacteria; Pseudomonadati; Bacteroidota; Flavobacteriia; Flavobacteriales; Flavobacteriaceae.